Molecule: ribosomal RNA, 1203 nt
Filed under: Trachelomonas hispida
Lineage: Eukaryota; Euglenozoa; Euglenophyceae; Euglenales; Euglenaceae
Description: SSU rRNA
Rfam family: Eukaryotic small subunit ribosomal RNA
Source: RNAcentral
GCUGAUACACGCAAGCAAGUGUCUGUCAUGCGAUGUGGGGUUGGCUCUGCCUUCACCACGCUGAUAGACUGCUAGCAGCCUUUGAAAGACCAGCGCCAGCAAUGGCAGUGUUCAAUGGAUGAAUCUGGCUGUUCCUACUGGACAAUGCUCUGGCAGAUAAGCCCUGCUUCGGCAGGCAUGCUUGAUCGCAUGAACUUCUGACCUAUCAGCUUGGACUGUGCUGUAGUGGACCACGUGGCCUUGACGGGUAACGGAGAAUCAGGGUUCGAUUCCGGAGAGGGAGCCUGAGAAAUGGCUACCACUACCAAGGUGGGCAGCAGGCGCGCAAAUUGCCCAAUACAAAGCCAGCUUGUGAGGCAGCAACGAACUGCAGCAAACAUGCCCACUUCUGUGGGUUUGUCUUGGAAUGGAUGCUAUCCAAACACAGCCAUGAGCAACAAGUGGAGGGCAAGUCUGGUGCCAGCAGCUGCGGUAAUUCCAGCUCCAUUGGUGUAUACUAACAUUGCUGCUGUUAAAACACUCGUAGUCUGCCACUGGGAUGCAGGUCUGGCGGAUGGCUGGCUGGCCGGGUUCGCUCGGUUGGCUGGAUACAACCUUCGUCAGUAUGUUCCUGCUCCCAAGUCAAGGAUGCUGAAAGGCUCCUGCAUGAAGUCUCCUUCAGUGAAGGCCAAAGCUAUCUUGCAGUGAACGCUUGCUUGGGACAACAGAUGGAGCCUUGUGCUUCCUGAGUAUCUGCCCAUAACCGGAGUACAGCAUCAGAGCAACCCUGGUAAACUCAGCGUGCUUCAAGCAACCUUUAAUGGCUUGUAUGCCAUCCAGUGAAUUGCACAGCAACGAUCGGACUUGGCUAUGAGUUGUGCUGGCCUUGGUGCCAAAUCUGAGCAAUCUGGGGCAUAUCCCUGACUGGUUCCGAGCCUCGGCAAGGUCCAGUCCAGGUGGUGUGUUUCCAACCGGAUAUGAUGGAAGCGUUCCAAGUGGAGGAUACUGCAGCGCCAGAGGUGAAAUUCUUAGACCGCUGCAUGAUCAACUGCAGCAAAGGCGCUCUGCAAGUGCAUGUUCGUCGAUCAAGAAUGAGAGCCUGGGGAGCAAAGAUGAUCAGACACCGUCGUAGUCCAGUGCAGUAAACCAUGCCAGCAAGGCUUUGGUGAAGCAAGAUUACCUACUCCAUCAGUGCCAUGCCCCCUACAACGAGAAAUCCACAGC